Molecule: long non-coding RNA, 1001 nt
Filed under: Heterocephalus glaber (naked mole-rat)
Lineage: Eukaryota; Metazoa; Chordata; Mammalia; Rodentia; Bathyergidae
Description: lncRNA (ENSHGLG00100047467.1)
Source: RNAcentral
GUGGGGAAUGUUAACAAUGGGCCCAGAUCUUCCUUUCUCCACCUCCCUCCACCCCUGCUGCCAGUGAUUCUGUUUCCCCUCCUCUUUCUUCUAGGUCUCUCUCCACUUCUGUCUCUGCCAGGCUCUGUGCCUUUCCUCCAUUUUCUCUUCAAGAUCUUUUGUUAACUUUGCCUUCCAGGAAAAGACGACAUGGCAGCCAGCAGCCCUGAGCCCCUCUGGGGUGGAAGUGUCCUGGCAGGGCAGUGGCAGCUGGCAGAGAGUGCAAGGAAGGCCAUAUCCCCUGCGGGGGUGACCAGCUGUCUCAGUCUGCCCAGGACAGUCCAGAUGUCAGCACCAAAAGCCAUAGGGCCACGCAAACCAGGCGUUGGCUUGCCACCCUGCCAGCUGCCCAAGGACCCAGAAGCAGGGCCAGGAAGCCCACAGAAAGUGGAUGGGAGAGGACGGGGAUCUGGGUACCUGGCUGUCCCCUAGUCCCCUCAGUUGUGUCUCAUGGGCUGAGGACACAAAGGGGAGAGUGGAGGAGCUGCCCAGGAGGCAGUGGCAGGCCUUGGGCAAACAGGAACCACCACCACCAGUGACUGACACAUGCUGCUCGCUUCCACCCGUGCAGGAUGGCUGGUCCUUGUCGCUUCUCCUGCCUUGGACCUUGGCUGUUCCAAGGGCAAGCAGUCUGAAUUAGACGCUAAUCAUAGCCUCGGGCUGUGGCCCAGCAUCUGCCGGCAGAACGGUAAGAUUUCUGCAGCCAUGCUUGGUGACAGGGAAGGGACAGGAGGGGCUGGGCAGGGUUUCUCAUGCUUUCAGCCAAAGACAACACCAUUAGUCUUUGGCCUUGCCAAGAGGUAAGUUGAGUCAUGAGCAGAAUUCAGCAGCUUAACAAACAGAAGACUAGGACACUUGGGUGAGGGCUACCGAGGAGACAUGAACAUGUUCACCAUGGUUGGCAGGGUCAUCCAGCCUGGGGCUCCCUCAGUUUUUAGUUUCUCCUUCAGCUUAUUUGGGGC